CCUACGGGAGGCAGCAGUGAGGAAUAUUGGUCAAUGGGCGAGAGCCUGAACCAGCCAAGUCGCGUGAAGGAUGACGGCCCUACGGGUUGUAAACUUCUUUUGUCAGGGAGCAAUUGAGUCCACGUGUGGGCUUAGCGAGAGUACCUGAAGAAAAAGCAUCGGCUAACUCCGUGCCAGCAGCCGCGGUAAUACGUAGGGGGCAAGCGUUGUUCGGAAUGACUGGGCGUAAAGGGUGUGUAGGUGGUUUGAUAAGUUAGAUGUGUAAUACCCAGGGCUUAACUCGGGUGCUGCAUCUAAAACUGUUAGACUUGAGUACUGGAGAGGAUAGUGGAAUUCCUAGUGUAGCGGUGGAAUGCGUAGAUAUUAGGAGGAACAUCAGUGGCGAAGGCGACUAUCUGGACAGCAACUGACACUGAGGCACGAAAGCGUGGGGAGCAAACAGGAUUAGAUACCCCAGUAGUC
RNAcentral lists this ribosomal RNA (462 nucleotides) under uncultured bacterium. RNAcentral describes it as "partial 16S ribosomal RNA". It matches the Rfam family "Bacterial small subunit ribosomal RNA", at positions 338 to 795 of the family's 1533-position model. The record is from RNAcentral.